GGGAGGCACGCAUGCGCAAGGCUUGAAUGGCGUCGGGGUUGGAGGGUUGGAAGGUCGGGAAGUGAAGGACUCGCAGGCAUAUUUAACAACGCAAAGUUGCUAGGAGUUGGUACCAGCGUUUGGGAGGUAGAGGUGGCGCUCAUGCAUAUUUGAGACAACAUCUGGAUGGUUGGGGAGAACGGUGAUGCCACACUCAAUCAGAAACUAUGCUACUGCUGAAGAGGUAUAUUGAGCCCUGCCUGGUUAACCUCCAGUGAGGUUAUUAGAGAAUUGGGAGAGGCUCAAAUCAGCAUCCUGCACCUAGUUAUCAAACCAUUGUGAAGUCUUGAUUCCUGGAUGGCCAGAAAACUUGUCAUUGGUCAAGAGCAACAUUAAGAUCUGCCUGUUACUCAUACUGAUGCUUCCUGCCCAGCAAGUUCAUCAGAGGGCGAGGAUGAAUUACGGUUGCCAUGAAUGUCCUUGUGAGGCAGUUGGGAAGCCUUGGCUGGAUUGUGAAGGAUAUUUGAAAAGUAUUUUAGAGUCCACCAGAUCAUCCAUGUGAGUGACCAUGCAGCAAAAGAAGGAGGGUCCUCUCAGUGAUUAAGGAUUAUGAAGUAUUAAUUCUUCCACUGAUAUCUCAAAAGGUGAUCUGGACAAAGGAACAGGUAUCUCAGCUUCCAAGUUUGCUGGAGCCAUGUUUUCUCUAAUGUCCCCACAGAACAGUGGUUGGUAGGAUGGCGGAGACAUGGACUUCAGAGAGUUCUUGGUAGAAGACUCAAAGAGCCACCUGUCAUGAGACAUCCCACUUCCUUCCCCAGGUUACUUCCAAGACUGAGCAGCCAGGUUUUUGGUAGAUGAGAACAAAUGUUUCUUCCUGAAGCCCUGGGGCUUCAGGUAGGAAGAAGGACUGCUAUACUUGUUCUCACCCUUGGCUUCUGGCUGCUCCAGUUAAACAUGGUUCCCAUUGAUACAGACAUUAGAGUGGGAAAGGACUUCGUUCAUAGACCGAAGACCCUCAAAGGAAAGUCCUUCCAUUUUGGGAAGGGUGACAUUGAUUUCGUUUAGCUGCUUAAGAUAUGUACUUGCUGUUGUCUUGUGAGACAUGACAUCUGAAGCUGAAGAGGAGUCCCUCUCAUUGUUGUCAUUGUCCCACCGGGACUGAAAGUCUCCCAGUUGAGGCAGCAUUUUAGCUUUGAUGUCUACAGGGCAAUCAUGGAUCAGGAAAUUUCUGCAAAUUAGACUUGGAAAACAAGGUCUUGAUCCUUCUUGUCUUUGGACGAAGACUAAUCAUCACUUUUGACUGAAGGUGUAGUGCUGGAGACUAUGUUGGAGGCAGCACCUGAUGCACUAUCCAUAUUCUUCCCCUUGAUCUUGUCUUAAAGUUUUCCAAAUGGAUUCCGAGGCUUGUCUUUGAUGAAAAGGUCAAACAUACUGGCAGUCAUGUUGUUUCUCAUAAGCUGGAUGUCAACCUCAAUUUCUCCUCUUUAUCCUUCUCUCCUGGUUUGGAUUUCAAGGUAUACCACCGCAUCUUCCUGCUCCCCUAGUCUGGGUGCAGGUCCUGCAGGUACACCUCGGCGAAGCCCAAGUACAGUAGCAGCAGCACCUCAAAGGUGGCCUCCUCCUCUGACACUGAGGUGGCAUACUUCUCCUUACCCACCUGAAUCACCGAGUACAUGUUGCUUGUACCGUCAGGCUCUUGGUUCUUGGCCCCUGGCCCUAUGCCUGCAACACUGUCACCUGCACGUGGAUUGGGAACCACAUAGCCCCCGGACCUGCUAAGGCCAUUAAGGACAGGAUGGUGAUGCCUCGGCUGACUGACGUGAGAAGAUUGUCAUGACCCAUGGCCUCUACUGCUGUCCUACCAACAGAAACUUCAUAAUGUUGUGCAGGCGUUACCACUACCUAGUUCCAGAACAUUGCCAUCACCCCCAAAAUAAAUCUUGCAUUCAUUAAGCAGUCACCCCUAUUUUC
RNAcentral lists this long non-coding RNA (1950 nucleotides) under Homo sapiens (human). Its description in RNAcentral is "HSALNT0407955". The record is from RNAcentral. Lineage: Eukaryota; Metazoa; Chordata; Mammalia; Primates; Hominidae.